This is a long non-coding RNA of Gossypium arboreum, 972 nucleotides long. RefSeq lists it as uncharacterized. The record is from RefSeq and is a predicted model, not a curated record. Lineage: Eukaryota; Viridiplantae; Streptophyta; Magnoliopsida; Malvales; Malvaceae. The transcript has 2 exons.
CUCGGCUACAAUUCUGUCUCAUUUUCACUUGUUACAUCUAUGAUGAUAAUAGACUGGAAAUGCUGAAGAAUAUGGAGCACUUUCACAUGCACAGUCAAGUUACGAUGAAUGCUUGGGAUCCAAAGGAAAACAAUGUUGAAUCCCCAUCGAACACGAUUAAGGCACGAGAAGCGACAUGUUUUUGGUUUACAUUUGGUUGAACAAGUUGCAGUAGUGAAAAUUUUCCAAUGCUGUGAAAAAAAAAGAGGACACUUUAGCUAGGUACAGUCACGUGUGACGUGCAUAAUGGUUAAACCAGCCUGAUAGAGGGUCCAUCAUUGCGUACAGAAAAUUAAAAUUAUCACAAGGUUGAGAUUUUUAGGCCUAGUUUCUCUGUCAUUGAAGGUACACUGUCACAUAAAGAUUCAUCUUCCCUAUGUAAAUGUCCUUUAGUUCAGGUUUCAUAAGAGAUAAUUAAUCACCAUAAAUUGGAAACUUUCAAGGUCUCUUUGAUACAACAAUAUUAUAUCAGAUUAGCUUCCAUGACAUAGAUUUACUUUUUUUAAAUCUGCAUAUCUUUCAAGCUGCUCUAUCUUGCAACUAGUUUCAGCACCACUAGAACCUGGUGGAACAUCCAGCUAGGCGACCGUAUCUCGAUCCGUGGGGUUGCUAUGCUGUGAUGCUAUGGCCAUGGAGAAUAUAGGAACACAAGCAGAAGGCUAAUGCAUUUUCAAUUUGCCAACAUUUUCAACCCCUUCUGCAAGUACCAUCGCCUGAAAUUGCAAGCAGCAGUGAGGAGUGCACUACAAAAUGCUCCGGUCUGGUGCCGCCUUUACUGUCAAAGAUUGUCUGCUUAAAACAUAUCCAUAACUUACAAAAGCUGCAAAAAAAGAAACAAUACAUGUCAUAAAAGUUUAAGAGUUGUUGAUCACUGUAUCUAUGUUGAUAAGCCUAUUUAGUCAAAUCUAAAGAAAAUCCAGAUAAUUCCUUCAA